CCUACGGGAGGCAGCAGUGGGGAAUAUUGCACAAUGGGCGAAAGCCUGAUGCAGCGACGCCGCGUGAGGGAUGACGGCCUUCGGGUUGUAAACCUCUUUCAGUAGGGAACAAGGCCAGACAUUCUCUGGUUGAGGGUACUUGCAGAAGAAGCGCCGGCUAACUACGUGCCAGCAGCCGCGGUAAUACGUAGGGCGCAAGCGUUAUCCGGAAUUAUUGGGCGUAAAGAGCUCGUAGGCGGUUUGUCGCGUCUGCCGUGAAAGUCCGGGGCUCAACCCCGGAUCUGCGGUGGGUACGGGCAGACUAGAGUGAUGUAGGGGAGACUGGAAUUCCUGGUGUAGCGGUGAAAUGCGCAGAUAUCAGGAGGAACACCGAUGGCGAAGGCAGGUCUCUGGGCAUUAACUGACGCUGAGGAGCGAAAGCAUGGGGAGCGAACAGGAUUAGAUACCCUGGUAGUCCAUGCGUAACGUAGGUCGACUAGUGUGGGACGAUCUCGUUCCGUCGCGUACGCGUACGCGAGUAGUGCCCGCCGUCGGGAGGUACGGCCGGCGACGGACGUUAAACGUUACGUAAGUUAAGUUAGUACGGCGUUGAGACGNGCGACGGCGACGACGAGGGAGGAGG
RNAcentral lists this ribosomal RNA (622 nucleotides) under uncultured bacterium. RNAcentral describes it as "bacterial SSU rRNA". The stretch from base 1 to 529 matches the Rfam family "Bacterial small subunit ribosomal RNA", at positions 338 to 873 of the family's 1533-position model. The record is from RNAcentral.